Molecule: ribosomal RNA, 253 nt
Filed under: uncultured bacterium
Lineage: Bacteria
Description: partial 16S ribosomal RNA
Rfam family: Bacterial small subunit ribosomal RNA
Source: RNAcentral
UACGGAGGAUCCAAGCGUUAUCCGGAAUCAUUGGGUUUAAAGGGUCCGUAGGCGGUUUAGUAAGUCAGUGGUGAAAUCCCAUCGCUCAACGGUGGAACGGCCAUUGAUACUGCUAGACUUGAAUUAUUAGGAAGUAACUAGAAUAUGUAGUGUAGCGGUGAAAUGCUUAGAGAUUACAUGGAAUACCAAUUGCGAAGGCAGGUUACUACUAAUAUAUUGACGCUGAUGGACGAAAGCGUGGGUAGCGAACAGG